This 591-nucleotide ribosomal RNA is filed under the name Escherichia coli. RNAcentral's name for it is "partial 23S ribosomal RNA". It matches the Rfam family "Bacterial large subunit ribosomal RNA", at positions 1293 to 1869 of the family's 2925-position model. Lineage: Bacteria; Pseudomonadati; Pseudomonadota; Gammaproteobacteria; Enterobacterales; Enterobacteriaceae. RNAcentral also lists the same sequence under 1 other name. The record is from RNAcentral.
AAUGCUGACAUAAGUAACGAUAAAGCGGGUGAAAAGCCCGCUCGCCGGAAGACCAAGGGUUCCUGUCCAACGUUAAUCGGGGCAGGGUGAGUCGACCCCUAAGGCGAGGCCGAAAGGCGUAGUCGAUGGGAAACAGGUUAAUAUUCCUGUACUUGGUGUUACUGCGAAGGGGGGACGGAGAAGGCUAUGUUGGCCGGGCGACGGUUGUCCCGGUUUAAGCGUGUAGGCUGGUUUUCCAGGCAAAUCCGGAAAAUCAAGGCUGAGGCGUGAUGACGAGGCACUACGGUGCUGAAGCAACAAAUGCCCUGCUUCCAGGAAAAGCCUCUAAGCAUCAGGUAACAUCAAAUCGUACCCCAAACCGACACAGGUGGUCAGGUAGAGAAUACCAAGGCGCUUGAGAGAACUCGGGUGAAGGAACUAGGCAAAAUGGUGCCGUAACUUCGGGAGAAGGCACGCUGAUAUGUAGGUGAAGUCCCUCGCGGAUGGAGCUGAAAUCAGUCGAAGAUACCAGCUGGCUGCAACUGUUUAUUAAAAACACAGCACUGUGCAAACACGAAAGUGGACGUAUACGGUGUGACGCCUGCCCGGUGC